RNAcentral lists this ribosomal RNA (394 nucleotides) under uncultured bacterium. RNAcentral describes it as "partial 16S ribosomal RNA". It matches the Rfam family "Bacterial small subunit ribosomal RNA", at positions 523 to 918 of the family's 1533-position model. The record is from RNAcentral.
AUACGUAGGUGACAAGCGUUAUCCGGAUUUAUUGGGUUUAAAGGGUGCGUAGGCGGACGAUUAAGCGUGAGGUGAAAUGCCACUGCUCAACAGUGGAACUGCCUCGCGAACUGGUUGUCUUGAAUGCUCCUGCCGUGGGAGGAAUGUGUGGUGUAGCGGUGAAAUGCAUAGAGAUCACACAGAACACCGAUUGCGAAGGCAUCUCACGAAGGGGUGAUUGACGCUGAGGCACGAAAGCGUGGGGAUCAAACAGGAUUAGAUACCCUGGUAGUCCACGCAGUAAACGAUGAUAACUAACCGCUGGGUCGUAGUGAUUCAGUGGCCAAGCGAAAGCGAUAAGUUAUCCACCUGGGGAGUACGACCGCAAGGUUGAAACUCAAAGGAAUUGACGGGG